GACGAACGCUGGCGGCGUGCUUAACACAUGCAAGUCGAACGGAAAGGCCUGCUUUCCCUUGUGGAUUGCGGGUACUCGAGUGGCGAACGGGUGAGUAACACGUGAGUGAUCUGCCCCCAACUUGGGUAUAAGCCUGGGAAACUGGGUCUAAUUCCCGAUAGGACUGCAGGGUGGUGCCUGUGGUGGAAAACGAUUAUCUAGUGGUUGGGGAUGAGCUCGCGGCCUAUCAGCUUGUUGGUGGGGUAAUGGCCUACCAAGGCGGCGACGGGUAGCCGGCCUGGGAGGGGGGACGGCCACAGUGGGACAGAGAUACGGCCAAGACUCAUACGGGAGGCAGCAGUGGGGAAUAGUGCACAAUGGGCGGAAGCCUGAUGCAGCGACGCCGCGUGGGGGAUGACGGCCUUCGGGUUGUAAACUCCUUUCGACCGCGAGGAAGCCACCUGGUUGGAAGGGUGGUGACGGUAGUGGUAGAAGAAGCACCGGCUAACUACGUG
This 494-nucleotide ribosomal RNA is filed under the name uncultured bacterium. Its description in RNAcentral is "partial 16S ribosomal RNA". It matches the Rfam family "Bacterial small subunit ribosomal RNA", at positions 28 to 507 of the family's 1533-position model. The record is from RNAcentral.